RNAcentral lists this ribosomal RNA (245 nucleotides) under uncultured bacterium. RNAcentral describes it as "partial 16S ribosomal RNA". It matches the Rfam family "Bacterial small subunit ribosomal RNA", at positions 524 to 768 of the family's 1533-position model. The record is from RNAcentral.
UACGUAGGAGGCAAGCGUUGUCCGGAGUUACUGGGCGUAAAGCGCACGCAGGCGGUCGGUCAAGUUUGGGGUGACAGUUCCCGGCUCAACUGGGAAAGUGCUUCAAAAACUGGUCGACUUGAGGGCUUCAGAGGGAUGCGGAAUUCCGGGUGGAGUGGUGAAAUGCGUAGAUAUCCGGAGGAACACCAAAGGCGAAGGCAGCAUCCUGGGAAGCACCUGACGCUCAGGUGCGAAAGCUAGGGGAG